Lolium rigidum is the source of this 2553-nucleotide long non-coding RNA. RefSeq lists it as uncharacterized. Lineage: Eukaryota; Viridiplantae; Streptophyta; Magnoliopsida; Poales; Poaceae. The record is from RefSeq and is a predicted model, not a curated record. The transcript is spliced from 2 exons.
GUUUCAAUUGCAAUAAUCUGCGGAAGGAGAUAUAGAUUGUGUUCCAUCUUACAUCGGUAAAUGAACACUUAAACUUGAAGUGUUAAAAAGGUUACGUGAUGUUUCUCUUUGGUAAGGUUCAACAUUUCCUGUAACAUUUGCAGUUGAUAUGAUACCGAUCGGAGAUAAUAGUAGUGAUAUCAUAUUCAUGCAUAAUAGAGCUUUUAUCCAACAGUGUUAGUAUCAUUGACUCUUUUCUCCAGUCCUCUUAGUUGCUCUCCACUAAUCUCUUACAAGAAUUUAUCUAUCCACCCAUGCAUGAUGAAAUGAUCUCUGAUCCAAAAUGACCUUUACAAUCAUACCCUUUAGUCAUAUGCAUUAGUGAGAGUACAAUGAACAGCUAUCUUUUUUUGGAGGAAUUAACAGCAGGAGAGGCUCUUACUGCACUUUAAUAUUAAAAUGAAAAAUAUUUACAUAGUAACUUUACAAGCUUACCAUGGUCGGGCCAUGGUUACCAUAACUUAUUUUCUAGACUCUCAAAAUAGCUAUGAAAGUAGUGAUAUGCUCUCUUAGUUUAGGCUUGACCCUACAGGAAAGUAGGUCAGCUUCGGCAAAAAAAUUAGCUAGCCAGUUCAGGUCCUGAACAAUAUAGUAAUGCCUCCCUACAACGGUCAGAGAGGUUGCACACUCAGCUCCGUUCAAGCAACAAGCACCGCAAGCUUCCUUCAUUGUACCCAACAUCAGUUCAGAGCAUUGCAUGACAGAUUUUCUCAAGCUUCACUUCUACAAGAUUUACAUGAAAGUUCAGAGGCAGAUAUCCAAGUUGUCUCUUAUGAUCUGUACUCCAUACAGUUCAUUUAUAUUUCUUAUGAGUUUUACUCCAUAGCCCAUAUAGUUUAACACACGGACGGACUGUUUUCAAGUGAAUUGGAAAAAUACUUGCAUUUGCUCUGCAAUAUUGUUGUGGCAAUUUUUUUCUUUGUACACACAUGGAUGUCAAAGAAUUAACAACUGGAUAUGAACGUAAUUUUCACUUCUCUGUGUCAAAUCAUCCAAACCUUUUCCUACCUUCAGGUUCAUAUGCUAACAAUUUUUUUCGCAGUACUCACGAUUUCUUCGGUCGACCCUUAAGGGAACUUUCAACUGACAUCAUUUACUUGAACACCAUAACCAACACUGACAUCCAUAGGAUACAAUUUAAGAAUAUACCUACAAUACUUCUGCAAACAAUGAUAUGCCAUUUUUGCCCUUGGCCACGCUCCAGAUGUAGGGGCCAAGCUAGGUAUGCACCCUUCAGCUGGAUUGAACCUUCGGCUUCUGUUUGGUUUCCUUUGAUUGUAUUACUUGUUGUGAAUCUUUUCCCCUGGUGGCCCACCCGUGUAUUUGUUUGCCAUAUUCAUUGAAUCCUCCUAUCUGAAGGUCUCCAUCGAAGGUAACACUGCCAUGGUCUCCUGCCGGUGAAUGGGAAGAGCUCACAGCCCCCAUCAGCGGUGUGCAGAAAGACCAUAUGCGUGGGCUUUUUUUCGGAGUACAUGUCUCUGCAAUAAGUGUUGUUCAUUAUAUUUUGUGUUGCACAUAUUACCCUGGGGUGUAUCGUUUGGCUGCUGCCUGUUGCAGAGCUAAAGCCAGGAUGAAACCUAUUACUUUUCUGUCUUAUGAAGCUAAACAAAAGCUUUGAACUUUUUCACUGAAUAUUCAAUCUUUAUGCCUUAGUUACAUAGUACAAACUAUAUACCGUCCAAUGUAAGGUGGUCCUUUUUACCUCUUGGUACAUUUAUAUAGUUCUUUUGCAUCUAUGUAUAAUUUCAUGGGUACAUUUAUAUAGGCUUCUGCAUCAUUUUUAUAAUGCCAUCUCAUCACCAUGGCACACGUUUUUGCAAUAUCAGGUGAUCUAUUGUUCAUAAUGGCGCAACCCAAAUCAUCACCAGUAUGUUGUUCAUAUCAUCUAUGUGGACGGUUCUCGCAGCAUCGACAUUACAAUUGAAUGCAGUAUCCUUCUUUUGGGGGUUUGCAUCUGCAUGAUCUGGUUAAAUGUUGAGGAGAAGCCUAGCUACAUGUUGUGGCAGCUAGGUUGAAGAAGCCACGUGUACAUGCCAUGAUUGCAGAUGAUAUUGGGAUGCCCAUUACAGUGGGUGCUACGUGCAAUGCAAUUCAUCACUCAUCAGAUAAUUUGCUACUUUAUGCUACCUUGGCAAUGAACCAUUUUCUACAUAUUUUAUGUUUACAUUAGCUUUGUUUGGAGACAAGCAAGCAAAUUGUUUAUUGAAUGACUUCGAGCAGACCAAAGUGAAGAUGGUGUAUGGUUCUUAACCUGCAAACCUGGAAGAUAAAUCACUUUCAUGGUUAGGUAUAAAGUUCUUUCGAAAAAAGGGUAUAAAGUUAACCUUUUGCUCCAAUAGCAAAUGAUUUUAUGGACUUCAUUAGUAGGCAAGAGUGUAUGUCUGUUACUACUUGAGGUGUUCGGAAGCGUUUUUCUAUCUUCCAUCCUCAAAAGAACACACCGAGGAAAGUUAGAUACUAUUCAAAAACAUAUUUAUGCCACUUGAAUAAAAGAUCAUGAAUUGUCUUGCAAAA